RNAcentral lists this ribosomal RNA (896 nucleotides) under uncultured bacterium. Its description in RNAcentral is "bacterial SSU rRNA". It matches the Rfam family "Bacterial small subunit ribosomal RNA", at positions 8 to 916 of the family's 1533-position model. The record is from RNAcentral.
AGAGUUUGAUCCUGGCUCAGGACGAACGCUGGCGGCGUGCUUAACACAUGCAAGUCGAGCGGUAAGGCCCUUUCGGGGGUACACGAGCGGCGAACGGGUGAGUAACACGUGAGCAAUCUGCCCUUCACUUUGGGAUAACUACCGGAAACGGUGGCUAAUACCGAAUACGACCAUCGGUUGCAUGACCUGGUGGUGGAAAGUUCUGGCGGUGGAGGAUGAGCUCGCGGCCUAUCAGCUUGUUGGUGGGGUAAUGGCCUACCAAGGCGACGACGGGUAGCCGGCCUGAGAGGGUGACCGGCCACACUGGGACUGAGACACGGCCCAGACUCCUACGGGAGGCAGCAGUGGGGAAUAUUGGACAAUGGGCGAAAGCCUGAUCCAGCAACGCCGCGUGAGGGAUGACGGCCUUCGGGUUGUAAACCUCUUUCAGCAGGGACGAAGCGCAAGUGACGGUACCUGCAGAAGAAGCACCGGCCAACUACGUGCCAGCAGCCGCGGUAAUACGUAGGGUGCGAGCGUUGUCCGGAAUUAUUGGGCGUAAAGGGCUCGUAGGCGGUUUGUCACGUCGGGAGUGAAAACUCGGGGCUUAACCCCGAGCCUGCUUCCGAUACGGUCUGACUAGAGGUAUGCAGGGGAGAACGGAAUUCCUGGUGUAGCGGUGAAAUGCGCAGAUAUCAGGAGGAACACCGGUGGCGAAGGCGGUUCUCUGGGCAUUACCUGACGCUGAGGAGCGAAAGUGUGGGGAGCGAACAGGAUUAGAUACCCUGGUAGUCCACACCGUAAACGUUGGGCGCUAGGUGUGGGACUCAUUCCACGAGUUCCGUGCCGCAGCUAACGCAUUAAGCGCCCCGCCUGGGGAGUACGGCCGCAAGGCUAAAACUCAAAGGAAUUGACGG